Molecule: ribosomal RNA, 460 nt
Filed under: uncultured bacterium
Lineage: Bacteria
Description: partial 16S ribosomal RNA
Rfam family: Bacterial small subunit ribosomal RNA
Source: RNAcentral
CCUACGGGAGGCAGCAGUGAGGAAUAUUGGUCAAUGGACGAGAGUCUGAACCAGCCAAGUAGCGUGAAGGAUGACUGCCCUAUGGGUUGUAAACUUCUUUUAUAUGGGAAUAAAAUGUUCCACGUGUGGGUUUUUGUAUGUACCAUAUGAAUAAGGAUCGGCUAACUCCGUGCCAGCAGCCGCGGUAAUACGGAGGAUCCGAGCGUUAUCCGGAUUUAUUGGGUUUAAAGGGAGCGUAGGUGGAUUGUUAAGUUAGUUGUGAAAGUUUGCGGCUCAACCGUAAAAUUGCAGUUGAAACUGGCAGUCUUGAGUACAGUAGAGGUAGGCGGAAUGCGUGGUGUAGCGGUGAAAUGCUUAGAUAUCACGAAGAACUCCGAUUGCGAAGGCAGCUCACUGGACUGCAACUGACACUGAGGCACGAAAGUGUGGGUAUCAAACAGGAUUAGAUACCCCGGUAGUC